ACAAUCCCAUGUCUGGAUAAAACCUGACAUGGGUUAGUAAGUUGGAAUUUCAAGGUUUAAAUUAGCAACGAAAGAAGUUAUCAAUAGUGACAAAAUGGCUUCUUAUAUGGAGAGUUCGAUUCAUAGAGGAUCAGAAUCAUUCUUUGACUUUUCUUGCUUUACAUGUCAGGAAAAUGACAGAAACACUGAGGCUGAUUUUUACUGUGAGGAAUGUUCUCAAUUUUACUGUAGCAAAUGUGUUGAGCAUCAUAACUAUCUUUACAAGAAGCAUGCAAUUUUGGACAAGAAAAACAUCAGCCAGUGGCCUGAGACUGAUGUGUCUGAACAAGAGAUAUGUCAGGUGCACAAGAAGGAAAAGCUGACAGGAUUCUGUGAGGACCACAGUCAGCUGAUAUGUCAUGCCUGCCAUGUCCACAAUCAUCAGUUAUGCAGUCAUGUGGUUCUAAUAGCUGACAAGGUGAAAGACCUCCAUCAAAAUAGAGAUUUCGAACAGUUGUCAGCAACUCUUGAUACACAACACCAGCAGUUGAUAAAGAAGAAAGAUGACUUUGAGGAAAAUUUGAAGUCUCUUGAGAAAUCUUACAAGAAAAUUCUGGAAGAAAUCGAUGCUUUACGAAAGACUAUAAAUGACGCUUUGGAUCAACUGGAGAAAAAUACCAAGAAGGCUUUGGACACAUUGUUGGUCAAUGUGAAGACAUCUAUCAGAAAUGACAUUGAAAACUGCAAUAAGUCCAUAAAAAAUAUAUCAUGCUUACAAGAAAAUUUGCUGACAAGUAAAGACAAAAAAGAAGCACUGAGUUUUAUCAAGUACAGAAAAUGCCUUGACCAGUCCCUCAAGGUAGAAGCAUCUUUACAAGAUAUGACAGCAAAUAAUGAGAGGACAAUAACCUUUAAUCUUGAUAGAACCUUCCAACAUACCCUGUCCGCUCUAUCUGAAUUGGGACAAAUACUGAGCACAGUUAAACAAUCACAAGCCACUAAAAGGACAACACAGAACACAAAUACAAGACAGAUUACACCUAAAGCAUGCAGCCAGUCUGACCCCGGAAACCAAACAGCUUCAAGAUUAAAGGUAAACACAUCCAUUUCAGAAUCAAGUUCAUCUAGACACUAUAGCCCUGGAAAUCAAAACAGUCAUCUGCCCAAGUCAGGCCUGAUAUCUGAUCCUGUAUCAAGCUCAUUACACCAGCUGGUCCAGGGACAUCAACCAGGUGCAGUAAGCAAACCUGAUCAAAUCAUCAAAGUGAAGAGUAGUAAGAAGUACAGUGUGAAGAUUGAGGGUGAAAAAGGCAUAUGCUACAUAACUGGUAUCUGUGAGACAGCUUCUGGAGAACUCCUCAUCACAGACUGGCAAAACAAUAAAGUGAAGCUCCUAGAUCAGACCUACAAGGUGGUGGCCCACUGUGACUUGCCUGGUGGACAUUUGUCCAUGUGCAGCAUUGACUCCUGUCUGGUGGCUGUUACUGUGGAUUACAAGGAGGUCCACUUCAUCAGAGUAAUCAAUAGUAAGUUGAUAAAGGACAGGAUACUGAAGCUCAAACAUGAAUGCUGGGGUAUUGCCCAUCAGCAUGGUAACCUGUACAUAACAGAUGGUGAUGCUCUGUAUCAUUAUACUCUGGAUGGAAGACUGGUGAGCAAGAUGUAUAAGGAUGAAUCAGUGGCCUCCUGUGCAGUGAGUCAAGAUGGUGACAGGAUAUAUGUGACCAACGCGUACAGUAAGCAGCUGGUCACACUGUCCAGGGAUGGCACAGUGAUCUCCACCCUGACUGUACCUGACCUGAGCUUUAUAUAUAAACUAUCUGGCCUACAUGUGACAGAUUCAGGACAAGUUCUGAUUUGUGGAGACUAUGCAGGCAAAAUCUUCCAGGUUGACAGGGAUGGUAGACAGAUACUGGCAGAGGUGGUCACAGUGAAUAAUGGUGUGUCUCACCCUAUAUCUGUCUACUACAGUAAGCACACACGCUCAAUCAUUGUAGGAAUGUGGAAAAAUAAUGACAUUACAGUGUUUAAGGAACAGUGACUGUUGCAGAAGGAUGAUUUAUAAUCAUUCAUUAUAAUUUACACAUUCAUUUAUACAGUCCUCAUUUUAAAAUAGUUGAACUCUUAAUAAAUUGUAUAUGAGACCUGUUGCAAUAGGACAUAUUCAAUAUUCGCUGUGUAAAACCCUCACAUGUACAACUUUACCAUAAAACCAGUCUUUAUCAACCUGGUAUGAUAUUAUGAUAUAUAAACUGAAAUAUGCUCACAUAUAAUUUGAAAAAUAAAUAAAUAGUUAGUUUCAUCGAAACUAGAUUUUAAAGUGAUUGUACAAACAUUUCUGAACCAGUUUAUCAAUUGUUUUUUUUUUUGUUUUUUUUUUUGGGGGGGGGGGGCAAAUAACUUAUCUCAUUGUUAAUAAAUAUCAUCUAUUGAUAUCGUUCAUGAGGUGCAUGAUAUUUAUAUUUUUAUGAACAUUAUGUGUGAGUGUGUCAAGUAUUGUUCAAAAUUUAUAUGCAUGUGAGUAUAAUAUCUGACAACAAUUAUCAUUUUCCAAAUCACACAUCAAAGCAAAACAUAUGAAACUCCGCCACAAGUAAUGUCAAAAUAAAAGGAUUUGCAAUCAAAUAAUAGUCUGAUCCAAAAGUCCCUUAAUCAACAUAAAAAAAUCAGCAACGUUACAUUCUCAAUUAACCCCAUGCCAGCAGAGAUUAUUGACCAAACCUUUCUAACAAUCCUCGGUAAAAACACGAGAUAAACAUAAGUGAAAGCUUUGUGCAUUAAAAUUACUCUCUUUAGAGACAGGGCAGAAUUUCCUGAACUUCCAAGGUCCUCUCAAUGUCCUGCUUGAAAUAGCCCCCCUCCCCCCUGCAUUUACAGUUCAGUUUCAAGACCUAGUUUUCCAACCAUACAAGCUUUAUCACAUAUUAUAGUCCCAAUAUGCCACAGUCCAGGUUCAAAAUUAACAUCCACAAGAGCAAUAACAGUGAAAAUAUGAAAACAGGAGUUAUGUUUGAAACAAUUCAUGUGUACGUCUUAGUUUUCGAGUUAUGGCUCCAGAAAAAUUAUAAACACAAAAACGGCAUGAUGUAAUAGAAUGUCUUAUUUAAAAAAGGGGCAUAACAUUUGUAAUUUUUAAUGUAUGAUGAUAACUAGAAUACCAUGAUGACCUCUAGGUGCUCACAGACUUCACGUGAGCUAUUUUUUUACCAAAUUUGAACCAGAUUUAAACAUGGUCUAUAUAUUGUCACAAUGCAUGACCUUUUUGACUUUAUUAGUUUGUUUAGAUGUGUGUUUAUAAUCAGAUAGUUUGUGUGCAGUUUAAUAAUUUAAGGACAACUAUACCUUAUUAUCAGAAACUUUUUGAUUCCUUCAUGUAAAUAUGCAGAUUAAAAAAUAGUGUUUGUCAAUCAUUUUGUUGUAAUCUUAUAUUAUAGUCUUGCAAUUCACAGUUUGUAGGAUUAAUAUUAAUUAAUCAUCCUUUUGUUAUACCCAUGUUUUGAUGUGUGCAUAAUGCCUUUCAACGUUUAUUGAAACUGUUUAUAAAAAAUUAAAAAAGAAGUAACAAGAUGUCAACAAAAAGACUCAUAUAUUAGAUAUACAUAGUUUGAACAUUAGGCAGAUAGAAACUUGUGGAAAUCAGUUACUGAACACUUUUGCAACACUAGGAACUUGUGUAAUUAUGUGUAUAUUUUGUAAUUAAAAUCAUAAUAUUGAAAGUAAA
RNA transcript from Dreissena polymorpha, 3700 nucleotides. It is a transcript of the gene named E3 ubiquitin-protein ligase TRIM33-like, with no coding region annotated. The record is from RefSeq and is a predicted model, not a curated record. NCBI's taxonomy places the organism in Eukaryota, Metazoa, Mollusca, Bivalvia, Myida, Dreissenidae. The transcript has 4 exons.